RNAcentral lists this ribosomal RNA (478 nucleotides) under uncultured bacterium. Its description in RNAcentral is "partial 16S ribosomal RNA". It matches the Rfam family "Bacterial small subunit ribosomal RNA", at positions 28 to 523 of the family's 1533-position model. The record is from RNAcentral.
GACGAACGCUGGCGGCGUGCUUAACACAUGCAAGUCGAACGGUAAGGCCCUUCGGGGUACACGAGUGGCGAACGGGUGAGUAACACGUGGGUGAUCUGCCCUGCACUUCGGGAUAAGCCUGGGAAACUGGGUCUAAUACCGGAUAGGACCACUGCCUGCAUGGGUGGUGGUGGAAAGCUUGUGCGGUGUGGGAUGGGCCCGCGGCCUAUCAGCUUGUUGGUGGGGUGAUGGCCUACCAAGGCGACGACGGCUAGCCGGCCUGAGAGGGUGACAGGCAACACGGGGACUGAGAUUCGGCCCAGAUUCCUACGGGAGGCAGCAGUGGGGAAUAUUGCACAAUGGGCGCAAGCCUGAUGCAGCGACGCCGCGUGAGGGAUGACGGCGUUCGGGUUGUAAACCUCUUUCAGCACCGACGAAGCGCAAGUGACGGUAGGUGCAGAAGAAGGACCGGCCAACUACGUGCCAGCCGCCGCGGUAA